CCCUAAAUAUGCUUACAAGGUAGGCAUUUAUAGGACAACCCUAUCAUAGUUCUGCCACCACUUAAGGUAAUAGAACCAUGAUUUUAGGGAUUACAUAAUCAACUCAUAUCCUAUCUAUUCAAACCUGAUUGAUCAUAAGCAAUAAAAUCCCAUAAUCAUGGGAGGUAAUAUCUCUCAUGAUCAUGGGAGAUAAUUAUGGAAGAUAAUAUCUCCCAUAAUCAUAGGAGAUAAUAUCUUCGACACCCCCCCUCAAGUUGGUGCAUAUAUAUUUAUCAUGUCCAACUUGCUUGUAAGAAAUUCAAAAUUGGGUCUGAGGAGUCCUUUGGUGAGAAUGUCAGCUAUCUGCUGAGCUGAUGGAACGAAUGGCAUGCAGAUAAUUCCUCCUUCAAGUUUCUCUUUUAUGAAGUGGCGAUCAAUCUCAAUAUGUUUGGUUCUAUCAUGUUGCACAGGAUUAUGAGCUAUGCUAAUUGCCGCCUGGUUAUCACAAUAGAGCUUCAUUGGAAGUUCAAUAGGUCUUUUCAGCUCCUCUAAAACUCUCUUCAGCCAUAACAUCUCACACACACCAUGAGCCAUAGCUCGGUACUCUGCUUCUGCACUACUACGAGCUACAACACUUUGUUUCUUACUUCUCCAAGUAACCAAAUUGCCCCAUACAAAGGUACAAUACCCCGAGGUUGAUCUUCUAUCAAUCACUGAUCCUGCCCAAUCAGCAUCUGUAUAAGCUUCAAUGGUCUUUCGAUCUCCUCUUUUAAAAAACAAUCCCUUUCCUGGAGUACUUUUUAAGUACCUCAGAAUUUGAUAUACUGCAUCAAGGUGCUCUUCAUAUGGAGAAUGCAUAAACUGGCUCACAACACUCACUGAAAAAGCUAUAUCAGGACGAGUGUGAGCCAAGUAAAUUAGCUUGCCUACUAACUUUUGGUAUCGAGAAGUAUCAACUGGUGUUCCAUCUUUUAUAUCUGCUAACUUGUGAUUCGGAUCCAUAGGAGUGUCUGCAGGUCGACAUCCACUCAUCCCUGUUUCCUUUAAAAGAUCCAAAACAUACUUGCGUUGGGACACAACGAUGCCCUUCUUGGACCGAGCUACCUCCAUCCCUAAGAAAUAUCGUAGUGUUCCCAAAUCUUUGAUUUCAAAGCUAGAAGCAAGACUUUUCUUCAGCCGUUCCAUCUCAAUUAAGUCAUCUCCUGUGAGGAUGAUAUCAUCCACGUACACAAUGAGUACUGCUAUCUUCCCGUCCUUGGAGUGUUUAACAAACAUGGUGUGAUCACUCUGAGCUUGGAUAUAGCCUUGAUCCUUCACCGACCUAGUAAAUUUUUCAAACCAGGCCCUAGGAGAUUGUUUGAGACCAUAUAACGAUUUUUUUAGCUUGCAAACUCUAGACUGAAACUUCCCUUCAAAUCCAGGGGGAGAAUCCAUGUACACCUCUUCCUCCAGAUCACCAUUUAAAAAUGCAUUCUUGACAUCAAGUUGUUGGAGUGGCCAAUCAAGAUUUACUGCUAUUGAGAGAAGCACCCUAAUAGUGUUUAAUUUUGCCACUGGAGCAAAAGUUUCAAGAUAAUCGAUCCCGUAGGUUUGAGUAAACCCUUUAGCCACCAAUCGAGCUUUGUACCGUUCCAAUGUCCCAUCGGAAUUAUACUUGAUGGUAAAGACCCAUUUACACCCUACCGUCUUUUUCCCUUGUGGCAGGUUUGUUACUUCCCAUGUUUGAUUCUUCUCAAGAGCAUACAUCUCUUCUUCAAUAGCCUUUCUCCACUCUGGAACUUGUAAUGCUUCCUGUACAUUCUUUGGAAUUUCCACAGAAGAAAGUUGUGAAGUAAAUGUCAAGAAGGUAGGGGAUAACUUUUCAUAAGAAACAUAGUUAGUCAUAGGGUGUUUGGUACAAGAACGCACUCCCUUUCGAAGUGCAAUAGGAAGAUCCAGAUCAGCAAUCUUUGAAUCAGAGGAAACUUUAUCUGAUGACUCAAAAACAUCAAAAACUGCCCUAGGUUCGGAUUCCUUGUUGUGAAGAGAAGGGGGAGCUUUAUCUUUUCCUCGAUGAUUUUUCCUGACAUAGGUUUUCAAGGUUUUUUCAGUUACAUUCCCAUCUCUUUCACUAAGAGAAUUCGACUCUGUUAUUGGCACUAAAGACAAGAGAUCCUCUUCUAAUCCAUGAUCAAUUUUUUCACGAUUUUCAAAAUCCUUUUUACGGGCAAAUUGAAGAGUGUCAUUUGAUUUUUCAGGAUUAUUAUCUUGAAAAGAUUCUUGUUGAGGAAAUGCUGCUGUAGAUUCUUCUAAAAAAUCAGAAAAAUCAAUUCUCCUAUCAACAAAAUUUUGAUCAGAAAUUUGAUUUUCAAUACGAAAAACAUCAUCAUCUUCUACAGGUUCUUCUACAUACCGAGUCCCCCCCUGAAGAGGAUCUCCAAAGAAAGGUUUAUCUUCAAAGAAUGUUACAUCCAUGGUUACAAACAUUUUUUUCGAAAUGGGGUCAAAGCAUUUAUACCCCUUUUGCGUGGGUGCAUAUCCAACAAAAAUGCAUUUUCUUGCUCGAGGGUCUAACUUACUUCGACCUUGUUCAUGAUUGUGAACAAAGGAUAUGCACCCAAACACCUUUAAUGAGACUUCAUAUGUUAAUCGAGACAUGGGAUAAAUGGUUUUGAAAAAAUUCAGAGGAGUUUGGAAAUUCAAGGUUCUUGAGGGCAUUCUGUUUAUGAGAUAUGUAGCAGUUAAAAUUGCUUCGCCCCAUAGAUAUUUAGGAACAUUUCUUGAAAAAAGUAAUGCCCUCGCCACUUCUAAAAGAUGUUUAUUUUUUCUUUCAGCUACCCCAUUCUGUUGUGGGGUAUCAUUGCAGGAGCUUUGAUGCACAAUCCCUUUUUCAAGAAAAAAACUUCCCAAAAUUUUAUUGAAAUAUUCUUUUCCAUUGUCACUCCGAACAAUUUUGAUUUUUUCUUGAAAUUGUGUCAAAACCAUGCUGUAGAAUUUUUGAAACACACUUGCAACCUCUGAUUUCUCUCUUAACAAAUACACCCAACAAACUCUUGUGUGAUCAUCGAUGAAUGUAACAAACCAUUUUUUUCCAGAUGAAGUUGAAAUUCUAGAGGGACCCCAAACAUCAGUGUGUAAUAGAAAAAACGGUUUUGAGGGUUGAUAAGGAUGUAUAGAAAAUGUAGACCGAUGAUGUUUAGCCAAUUCGCAGAUUUCACAUUGAAAGGAAGAUGAAUCUUUAUUCUUAAACAAAUCUGGAAAUAAGUAUUUCAUGUAAUAAAAACUAGGAUGUCCUAGUCUAAAGUGCCAUAACAUAAUCUCUUUAUUACUAGUAAUAGAGACAGACCCGUAACAUGUGUUUUUGAUUGGUGUUGUCAUAUUUGAUCCAUCUUCAAGGAAGUAAAGUCCCCCAUUUUCUCUAGCACAUCCAAUCAUCCUCCCCGUGGUCAGUUCCUGAAACUCACAAAAAGAGGGGAAAAAAUUAAUCCGACACAUGAGAUCCCUAGUUAAUUUACUUAUGGCCAGCAAAUUGCAUGAUAACUUUGGAACAUGAAGAACUCUAUGAAGUGUUAGAGUAGGAGAGAUGACAACGGAACCUAUGCCAGCUAUGACGGAUAAUGAUCCGUCAGCAACCUUGACCCUUUUAUUGCCUGCACAUGGACUGUAGGUAGAAAAUAAUUGUGACAAACUAGUCAUAUGGUCAGUGGCCCCAGAAUCAAUAACCCAUACAAUCCGUGGACAAGAUGCAUUUGAUGUUUUACAUGAAAGAGCAACAGUAAAAGGAUUACCAUUUUUAGCAAAAGAACAGAAAGGAGUGAAGCUUUUUGGCUCAGUGACUGAAAAUUGUGGAGACUUAAAGAGUUUGUACAGUUGGCUUAAUUGUUCCUUUGUGAAGGCUGGUGUCUCAGAGUCAAUUUGUUGCUUUUGAGAAUCCUCAUUCACAGUCUGCAACACCUUGCUAUCACCUCCAUUUUUCUUCUUGAAAUUCGAUGGUUUCCCAUGUAAUUUCCAGCACGUGUCCUUUGUGUGCCACGACUUUUUACAGUGUUCACACCAAGGCUUCCUUCUUUUAUCUCCGUCCAAAUCUGUCCCCUUAGAAACCAAUGCUGAAGUCUCAACUUCAUCCUCUGCCUUGGACUUUAGCAUCACCUUACGCCUUGAUUCUUCUCUUCUGACCUCAGAAAAUACUUCACGAAUGGAGGGGAGAGGCUUCCUGCCCAAAAUACGACCUCGCACCUCAUCAAGUUCUUGAUUUAGUCCGGCCAAGAAGACAUAGACUCUGUCGUUCUCCUCCCGUUUUUUGUAUCGAACACUGUCUGCACGGCAGUCCCAUUCAUCCUCAUAACAAAGAUCCAAUUCCUGCCAUAAAGUUACCAUCUGAUUGUAGUAGGUUGUAACAUCUCUAUCUUCUUGUCUUGAUUUCCACAAUUUCGUCUUGAGAUUGAAAAUUUGAGAUGAAUUCUCUAUAUCGGAAUACAUAUCCCGGACAGCGUCCCACACAUCCUUGGCUGUGGGCAGAAAUAAGUGUGGCUUUCCUAUCGAUAGAGUUUAUCAACCAAGCGAUAACUAGAGAGUUCUCUAAAUGCCAUCUCUUCAAAUUGGGAUCUUCAGCAGCUGGUUGUUGAAUUUCUCCAGUAAGGUGGCCGAGUUUACCUCUGCCAUCGAUAGCCAGUUUUACGGAUUGAGCCCAUUCCAGAUAAUUGGAACCAUUUAAUUUAUGAACGGUUAUUUGUAGGGAAGAAGAAUUUGAAGCGGAGUAAUCUGUAGUUUGGAUAACUACUGAAGACGAGGAUGAGUCUUCUCUUGUGUGAGCAGUCGAUCCAGUCAUGGCUGCUCGGUAGUUCAUGGCAGGGAUUGGUACAGAGCCGGAGCUCUGAUACCAUGUAAAUCUUUAAAAGAAAAGAAAAAUGAACAAAAAACUCUACUUUUCUUUAUUUUCCCACACCCUAAAUAUGCUUACAAGGUAGGCAUUUAUAGGACAACCCUAUCAUAGUUCUGCCACCACUUAAGGUAAUAGAACCAUGAUUUUAGGGAUUACAUAAUCAACUCAUAUCCUAUCUAUUCAAACCUGAUUGAUCAUAAGCAAUAAAAUCCCAUAAUCAUGGGAGGUAAUAUCUCUCAUGAUCAUGGGAGAUAAUUAUGGAAGAUAAUAUCUCCCAUAAUCAUAGGAGAUAAUAUCUUCGACA
This 5144-nucleotide long non-coding RNA is filed under the name Coffea arabica (coffee). Its description in RNAcentral is "long non-coding RNA (CARA_LNC005489)". The record is from RNAcentral. Lineage: Eukaryota; Viridiplantae; Streptophyta; Magnoliopsida; Gentianales; Rubiaceae.